This is a long non-coding RNA of Manis pentadactyla (Chinese pangolin), 841 nucleotides long. RefSeq lists it as uncharacterized. The transcript is spliced from 5 exons. Lineage: Eukaryota; Metazoa; Chordata; Mammalia; Pholidota; Manidae. The record is from RefSeq and is a predicted model, not a curated record.
GAGGAGUCCGGGGUCGGAGCAGCGGAAAGGCGGGAGGUGCCCCACCGCUUUAGGCGCCCGGCGCAGGGCACGAUGGGACGCCCCCGGGACGGGGCGGAGCCGUGUUCGGGCUGCGGUUAGGGAAGCGCCGUCACUUGGGGAGGCGUGCCGAAGAGGGUUUCGCGGGUCCGAGCCGGGGUGGGGGGACCGUUAAAGCCCAGCACCGCAUCCACAGGAAGCUGCUUUAAUGGCUAGGCCUACUUUGUACGAAGCUCUCGGCAGAGAAGUACCCUGAAGACCGUGCGGUUCAACUUCCAAUUUGCAGAUCUGGAAACUGAAGCCUAGAAAGGGAAACUACUGGAGGAUGUGGUGCACCAAAAUUAGAGGAAAAAAACCCCAAGAAACAGGAAGACAUGUGACCCUGGCACCAGGAUAUUCCACAUAGGUACAAGAUGGGAUAAUUAUUUUGCCAUGAACAACUCAGAGUGUAAUGUUUUUGGAAUGAUGGCAGCUUCUACAAAAGCUGGCCUAGGCGAUGAUGGGCUCAAGCUCUGGCUGGAAGAAAUCAAGAGGAAAGAACAUCUUAGCACUUCUGCUCAGUGUCCCUGCUUUGUGGUGCCUUAAGCCUAUGCUUAGACGGUGUACCAAGCAGCCUUGAGCAGGGUAUUUGGAUGAGGAGCCCUCAAUAGGGUACUGAAUUUAAUUCUGGAGUGUGAGCAGGAACCAGUUAACUACAUUCAUUGUCCAACCCCCACUGGUUUGAAAGAAGACUCCAAAUUCUUGGCAUAUGAAUCAGCUGUUCGGUAGCUCCACCUUAUCCCUGCAGUGGAGCAGCGGAACCGCAGUGGCGGCGCGCUUAGGG